RNAcentral lists this ribosomal RNA (1494 nucleotides) under metagenome. RNAcentral's name for it is "bacterial SSU rRNA". It matches the Rfam family "Bacterial small subunit ribosomal RNA". The record is from RNAcentral.
AGAGUGUGAUCCUGGCUCAGGAUGAACGCCGGCGGUGUGCCUAAUACAUGCAAGUCGUACGCACUGGCCCAACUAAUUGAUGGUGCUUGCACCUGAUUGACGAUGGAUCACCAGUGAGUGGCGGACGGGUGAGUAACACGUAGGUAACCUGCCCCGGAGCGGGGGAUAACAUUUGGAAACAGAUGCUAAUACCGCAUAACAACAAAAGCCGCAUGGCUUUUGUUUGAAAGAUGGCUUUGGCUAUCACUCUGGGAUGGACCUGCGGUGCAUUAGCUAGUUGGUAAGGUAACGGCUUACCAAGGCGAUGAUGCAUAGCCGAGUUGAGAGACUGAUCGGCCACAAUGGAACUGAGACACGGUCCAUACUCCUACGGGAGGCAGCAGUAGGGAAUCUUCCACAAUGGGCGCAAGCCUGAUGGAGCAACACCGCGUGAGUGAAGAAGGGUUUCGGCUCGUAAAGCUCUGUUGUUGGAGAAGAACGUGCGUGAGAGUAACUGUUCACGCAGUGACGGUAUCCAACCAGAAAGUCACGGCUAACUACGUGCCAGCAGCCGCGGUAAUACGUAGGUGGCAAGCGUUAUCCGGAUUUAUUGGGCGUAAAGCGAGCGCAGGCGGUUGCUUAGGUCUGAUGUGAAAGCCUUCGGCUUAACCGAAGAAGUGCAUCGGAAACCGGGCGACUUGAGUGCAGAAGAGGACAGUGGAACUCCAUGUGUAGCGGUGGAAUGCGUAGAUAUAUGGAAGAACACCAGUGGCGAAGGCGGCUGUCUGGUCUGCAACUGACGCUGAGGCUCGAAAGCAUGGGUAGCGAACAGGAUUAGAUACCCUGGUAGUCCAUGCCGUAAACGAUGAGUGCUAGGUGUUGGAGGGUUUCCGCCCUUCAGUGCCGGAGCUAACGCAUUAAGCACUCCGCCUGGGGAGUACGACCGCAAGGUUGAAACUCAAAGGAAUUGACGGGGGCCCGCACAAGCGGUGGAGCAUGUGGUUUAAUUCGAAGCUACGCGAAGAACCUUACCAGGUCUUGACAUCUUGCGCUAACCUUAGAGAUAAGGCGUUCCCUUCGGGGACGCAAUGACAGGUGGUGCAUGGUCGUCGUCAGCUCGUGUCGUGAGAUGUUGGGUUAAGUCCCGCAACGAGCGCAACCCUUGUUACUAGUUGCCAGCAUUGAGUUGGGCACUCUAGUGAGACUGCCGGUGACAAACCGGAGGAAGGUGGGGACGACGUCAGAUCAUCAUGCCCCUUAUGACCUGGGCUACACACGUGCUACAAUGGACGGUACAACGAGUCGCAAACUCGCGAGAGUAAGCUAAUCUCUUAAAGCCGUUCUCAGUUCGGACUGUAGGCUGCAACUCGCCUACACGAAGUCGGAAUCGCUAGUAAUCGCGGAUCAGCAUGCCGCGGUGAAUACGUUCCCGGGCCUUGUACACACCGCCCGUCACACCAUGGGAGUUUGUAACGCCCAAAGUCGGUGGCCUAACCUUUAUGGAGGGAGCCGCCU